UAUUGAGUUGGCAGAUUAGUGUAUUAAAUUUAGGUUUUAAUUAAGUAUUUAUUAUACAUUCAAUAA
This 66-nucleotide transfer RNA is filed under the name Chinaocerus tubulatus. RNAcentral describes it as "tRNA-Leu". RNAcentral also lists the same sequence under 1 other name. Lineage: Eukaryota; Metazoa; Arthropoda; Insecta; Hemiptera; Cicadellidae. The record is from RNAcentral.